GGAGAAGUGGCCGAGUGGUCGAAGGCGGGCGCUUGGAGAGCGUCUGGGCGGUAACGCCCCGGGGGUUCGAAUCCCUCCUUCUCCG
This is a non-coding RNA of Synergistales bacterium 53_16, 85 nucleotides long. The record is from Rfam. NCBI's taxonomy places the organism in Bacteria, Thermotogati, Synergistota, Synergistia, Synergistales.